RNAcentral lists this ribosomal RNA (376 nucleotides) under uncultured archaeon. RNAcentral's name for it is "bacterial SSU rRNA". It matches the Rfam family "Archaeal small subunit ribosomal RNA", at positions 347 to 727 of the family's 1478-position model. The record is from RNAcentral.
ACUUUACCAUGCGGGCAACCGUGAUAAGGAAACCCCGAGUGCCAGCACAGGCUGGCUGUCCGCCAGUUUAAACAACUGGCGAAGAAAGGGCCGGGCAAGACCGGUGCCAGCCGCCGCGGUAAUACCGGCGGCUCGAGUGGUGGCCGCUAUUACUGGGCUUAAAGGGUCCGUAGCUUGAUAAUAGGGUCCCUUGAGAAAUCCGCCGGCUUAACUGGCGGGCGUUCAGGGGAAACUUGUUUUCUAGGGACCGGGAGAGGUGAGGGGUACUGCCGGGGUAGGAGUGAAAUCCUGUAAUCCCGGUGGGACCACCUAUGGCGAAGGCAUCUCACCAGAACGGACCUGACGGCAAGGGACGAAAGCUAGGGGCACGAACCGG